GCCCUAGUGGUGCAAUGGGUAAGUGUUUGGCUGCUAACCAAAAGGCUGGUGGUUUGAACCUAUCCAGUGGCU
This 72-nucleotide transfer RNA is filed under the name Loxodonta africana (African savanna elephant). It matches the Rfam family "tRNA". Rfam says of the family: Transfer RNA (tRNA) molecules are approximately 80 nucleotides in length. Lineage: Eukaryota; Metazoa; Chordata; Mammalia; Proboscidea; Elephantidae. The record is from Rfam by way of RNAcentral.